Molecule: ribosomal RNA, 2992 nt
Filed under: Candidatus Roizmanbacteria bacterium GW2011_GWA1_41_13
Lineage: Bacteria; Candidatus Roizmaniibacteriota
Description: bacterial LSU rRNA
Rfam family: Bacterial large subunit ribosomal RNA
Source: RNAcentral
AAGGCCAACGGUGGAUGCCUUGGGAUAGUAUGCCGAGGAAGGACGUCUCUUGUCUGACGAUAGUCGUCGGGGAGCUGACUAAGAAGCUUCGAUCCGGCGGUCUCCGAAUGGGGCAACCCUCCUGCGUGUAAACGCAGGAGCCUCGUGUUUCACACAAGGGAUUUAAGAAUUUAGAUUUAAGAUUUAAGAGUAUUUGUUAUUCAUAAAUCAUACAUCAUACAUCUUGAUUCUCUCGCGUGAAACGCGAGGCGGUAACCCGGUGAAGUGAAACAUCUCAGUAACCGGAGGAAAAGAAAUCGAAUGAGAUUCCGUUAGUAGCGGCGAGCGAAAACGGAACAGUCUAAACCACGUUCAUGCGCGCAAGCGCACUGAACGUGGGGUUGUGGGGCUAUCAAUAAAUGUGAUUGUUUGUUUGGUAGAAGAAUAGUCUGGAAUGUCUGACCAAAGAACGUGAAAGUCGUGUAAUCAAAACCAAACAGCACACAGAGAUAGUUCCCAAGUACCACGGGACACGUGAAACCCUGUGGGAAUCUGGGGCGGCCACGCUCUAAGACUAAAUACAUACUAUCACCGAUAGUGAACAAGUACCGUGAGGGAAAGGUGAAAAGUCCCCCGUUGAGGGGAGUGAAAUAGUACCUGAAACCGUUGGUUAACAAUCAGAGGGAGUCCUGGUUAGCACUCUGUUUAUGAGAAUUUGUGGUAAUUUGCUAUGAUUUGUGUGAAUCCUACGACUUGGAUUUUCACGAAUUACUAGCUAAUUUACACGAAUCUUUCAUGAAUGGAUUGCUAAUCAAGACAACCUCGUGCCUAUUGAAGAAUGAGCCGGUGAGUUUUCAAUUACUGCAUAGGCUAAGGGAGUCUCUUCUGCAGCCAUAGCGAAAGCAAGUCUUAAAAGGGCGUUUAGUAGUAGUUGGAAGACCCGAAACUGGGUGAGCUAACCUUGGACAGGGUGAACCCCGCCGAAAGGCGGGAGGAGUGGUUGGGGGUAGAGCACUGGAUGGUGGACGGGAACUUUGUUUCUGCCUACUAACCAAACUCCGAAUACCAACGCAUGUGGUACAGGACUCAGACGGAUCGGGCUAAGCUGAUCUCGUCAAAAGGGAAACAACCCAGACUAUAGACUAAGGUCCCUAAAACAUAGGGUACCAUUCGGUACCCUACCAGGCGCCGUAUGGUGUCCUGGCGUUAAGUGCUGAAGGAAGUUAUAUUCUUUAGACACCUAGGAGGUUGGCUUAGAAGCAGCCAUCCUUUAAAGAUAGCGUAACAGCUCACUAGAAUAAGGAUAUUGCGCCGAAGAUGAACGGGACUAAACGUGUUACCGAAGUCGUAGAUUUAUAUUUCAUUAUAUAAGUGGUAGGGGAGCGUUCAUAUUGCAGUGAAGGUGGACCGUGAGGUUAGCUGGAGCGAUAUGAAGUGCGAAUGCCGGCAUGAGUAGCGAAAAUUGGGUGAGAAUCCCAAUCGCCGAAAGCCUAAGGUUUCCCACGCAACGUUCGUCGACGUGGGGUUAGUCGGAUCUAAGGGUAUGCCUAUUUGGUAUAUCCGAUGUACAACUGGUUGAUAUUCCAGUACUAGUACUAUAUCGCUAUGAGUAUACGGUGUGACGAAACAGGACAAUUCAGCGCAUGUUACGAGAGUGCGUUUAACAAGUAAGCCAGAUCGGGUAGGCAAAUCCGCCCGGUCGACGGUGAACUUUAUAUGAAGUCUCGCAGCAAUGCGGGACAACUGAAUCUCUGUUCAGUUUCCGAGAAAAGCAUCGUUACCAGAUAUAAUACUAUCCGUACCGUAAACCGACACAGGUGGGUGGAAUGAGUAUUUUCAGGCGAGCAGGAAAACGAUUCUGAAGGAACUCGGCAAAAAAGCUGGGCGUACGCUUUGCAAGAUGCCCUUCCCGUUCAGUUACAUGAACGGGACACAGCAACCGAUUAUUUCUCGACUGUUUAACUAAAACACAGGUCUGUGCUAAGCUGAAAAGCGAUGUAUACAGGCUGAGGCCUGCCCAGUGCCGGAAGGUUAACCAGUUCUUGUGCUUCGCACAAGGGAUUUAAGAAAUAAGAUUUAAGAUUUAAGAAUAAUUUUGUUGUUUAUUCAUACAAUCAUAAAUCAUAAAUCUUGAUUCUCUCGCGCGAAGUGCGAGGAUUGUAAGCCCCGGUAAACGGCAGCAAUAACUAUAAUUGUUCUACGGUAGCGAAGUUCCUUGUCUGGUAAGUUCAGACGCGCACGAAUGGCAUAACGAGGAAAUAACUGUCUCCAGAAUCGACCUGGCGAAAUUGAGAUAGCUGUGAAGACGCGGCUUAGUUGCACCUGGACAAAAAGACCCCGGAAGCUUUACUGUAACUUGACAUUGGCAACUAGACGGUAAUUGUCGAGCGUAGGAGGGACCCGCUACAGCGCGCAAGCGCCUGAGCGGGAUCAAUGAAACACCUCUCUUUGCAAUCUGGAAGCCUAACCCUGCCUUUGGCGGGGAACACUGUUUGGUGGGCAGUUUGGUUGGGGUGACCGCCACCUAAAUUGUAACGGUGGCGCACAAAGGUUGGCUAAUCCCGGAUGGAAAUCGGGAUGAGUCGUGUAAAGGCGUAAGCCAGCUUGACUGCGAGACUUACUAGUCGAGCAGGUGCGAAAGCAGGUCUUAGUGAUCCUCUGGUUCUAUGUGGUAGGGCCAGAGCUUAUCGGCAAUAAGCUACUCCGGGGAUAACAGGCUGGUCUCCUCUAAGCGUCCCUAGCGACGAGGAGGUUCGGCACCUCGAUGUCGGCUCGGCGUAUCCUGGGGGUGGAGAAGCUCCCAAGGGUUGGUCUGUUCGCCCAUUAAAACGCUACGUGAGCUGGGUUCAGAGCGUCGUAAGACAGCUCGGUCUCUAUCCGGUGCAACCGUGAAAGCAUCUCAAGCGUGAAGCCCGUUCCAAGAUGAGGAAUCAUAGGUUCGUGGAAGAUUACCACGUUGAUAGGAGAGUUGGUGUACGGUCGGUAACGACUUUAGCCUUCUCUUACUAAUAUC